GGUACCACACUUGCUCGAUGAAUAAACUAUUGUAGAGAUCUGACGGAAGCUGAAUGCAAAAAUUUCAGCUGGGUUAAUUUCUGGAACCUGCUGGCAUAUGGGCAUACGGGAGACCACGACUUAGAGUCUUGAAAGUCGCAAAAAUGCUAGUAGUAGCCAUACAUGCAUAUUCCAAGAUAUAGGUUAAUAUUGUUCAACGAUACAUCAAAUCUAGCCCAUACAUAUCCCUUACUCGAAUGUAUCCAUACUCAAAAAGCAUCGCCCCUUUAGCUACAACGAAACUACUAUUCCAUUAAUGUUCUUUUUACAAUGUUUCAUGUAUUAAUGUGUUAAAUUCGUUCUUACUAUUGAAUUGUAGAUACUGAGUGUUUUUACUCGCUCUUGUGUUAUUUGGUUUUUAUACCAAUUGAAUGUGCAUGAAUGAGGAUCGGGAAUUUCACCGUACUGUUG
This 450-nucleotide long non-coding RNA is filed under the name Setaria italica (foxtail millet). RNAcentral describes it as "long non-coding RNA (SITA_LNC000098)". Lineage: Eukaryota; Viridiplantae; Streptophyta; Magnoliopsida; Poales; Poaceae. The record is from RNAcentral.